GGUUAAGCGACUAAGCGUACACGGUGGAUGCCUAGGCAAUCAGAGGCGAUGAAGGACGUGCUAAUCUGCGAUAAGCGUCGGUAAGGUGAUAUGAACCGUUACAACCGACGAUUUCCGAAUGGGGAAACCUAGUGCAAUUCGUUGCACUAUCGUUUGAUGAAUACAUAGUCAAACGAAGCGAACCGGGGGAACUGAAACAUCUCAGUACCCCGAGGAAAAGAAAUCAACCGAGAUUCCCCUAGUAGCGGCGAGCGAACGGGGAGCAGCCCAGAGUCUUAAUCAGCAUUAGCAUCAGGAGAACGGUCUGGAAAGUCCGGCAGUAAAGGGUGAUAGCCCCGUAUCCGAAGAUGUUAGUGUUGUGAACUCGACGAGUAGGGCGGGACACGUGUUAUCCUGUCUGAAUAUGGGGGGACCAUCCUCCAAGGCUAAAUACUCCUGAUUGACCGAUAGUGAACCAGUACCGUGAGGGAAAGGCGAAAAGAACCCCGGCGAGGGGAGUGAAAUAGAACCUGAAACCGUGUACGUACAAGCAGUGGGAGCCUUGAUUUAUC
This 551-nucleotide ribosomal RNA is filed under the name Providencia rettgeri. RNAcentral describes it as "partial 23S ribosomal RNA". It matches the Rfam family "Bacterial large subunit ribosomal RNA", at positions 1 to 590 of the family's 2925-position model. Lineage: Bacteria; Pseudomonadati; Pseudomonadota; Gammaproteobacteria; Enterobacterales; Morganellaceae. The record is from RNAcentral.